AGAAUCAACGCUGGCGGCGUGCCUAACGCAUGCAAGUCGAACGAGAAAGUGGAGCAAUCCAUGAGUAAAGUGGCGCACGGGUGAGUAACACGUGACUAACCUACCCUUGAGUGGGGGAUAACCUAGAGAAAUCUGGGCUAAUACCGCAUAAUACCUUCGGGUCAAAGGAGCAAUUCGCUUAAGGAGGGGGUCGCGGCCGAUUAGUUAGUUGGCGGGGUAAUGGCCCACCAAGACUAUGAUCGGUAUCCGGCCUGAGAGGGCGCACGGACACACUGGAACUGAAACACGGUCCAGACUCCUACGGGAGGCAGCAGUGGGGAAUUUUGCGCAAUGGGGGAAACCCUGACGCAGCAACGCCGCGUGGAGGAUGAAGUCCCUUGGGACGUAAACUCCUUUCGAUCGGGACGAUUAUGACGGUACCGGAAGAAGAAGCCCCGGCUAACUUCGCGCCAGCAGCCGC
This 460-nucleotide ribosomal RNA is filed under the name uncultured bacterium. RNAcentral's name for it is "SSU rRNA". It matches the Rfam family "Bacterial small subunit ribosomal RNA", at positions 26 to 518 of the family's 1533-position model. The record is from RNAcentral.